GUGUGAGCACAGCCAUAGCAAACGCGACCCCCAAGGGCCAAAUGAAUGUCCACAGAUGGAGUCCAGCUAGUGCUUCUCUACAGCUUCAGCUGCCCUAGCCAAGGGCCUAGCACACAGCAGGGGAUCCUAACGCAGGGCGGCUGUGAGGAGCGGAUGACAUGCUUGUGAGGCUCCUACCACGUUCGACCCGGGCUCUCCUGGAGCUGAAGACACAGAGCUGGCUUUUCCUAACAACACGCACAUGCAGAGGAACCAUCCUGUGGGUGGUCGCUCCACCUUCCUGCGAGUGGUCAGUCACCAGCUCGGAGGCACGGGGUGCCAGGACCUAGCAGGCCAGCGCCCAGCAUGGCCUGAGACGUGAGUCGUUAAGCCGCAGAACCCUGAGGUGCUUAGGCUCUAUUCAGGCCGCACCGAGAUGCUACUUGUUGCAAAUUAAAUAACCAGGGUU
Canis lupus familiaris (dog) is the source of this 448-nucleotide long non-coding RNA. RefSeq lists it as uncharacterized. NCBI's taxonomy places the organism in Eukaryota, Metazoa, Chordata, Mammalia, Carnivora, Canidae. The transcript is spliced from 3 exons. The record is from RefSeq and is a predicted model, not a curated record.